Molecule: unclassified non-coding RNA, 247 nt
Filed under: uncultured fungus
Lineage: Eukaryota; Fungi
Also listed under: 1 other name
Description: partial contains 5.8S ribosomal RNA, internal transcribed spacer 2, and large subunit ribosomal RNA
Source: RNAcentral
AACGCACAUUGCGCCCCUCGGUAUUCCGUGGGGCAUGCCUGUUCGAGCGUCAUUUACACCCUCAAGCUCUGCUUGGUGUUGGGCGUCUGUCCCGCUUUAUGCGUGGACUCGCCCCAAAGUCAUUGGCAGCGGUCGUGCCAGCUUCUCGCGCAGCACAUUUGCGUUUCUUGAAGUUUGGUGGAUUAGCAUCCAGUAAGCUCUUUUAUGACUUGACCUCGGAUCAGGUAGGGAUACCCGCUGAACUUAA